GGUCGGCCUGGGGAGGGGAGGGCCCGGGACUCACCCCGGGGUGGGCACACUAGGGGAGCUCUAGGGGAGGCCCACCUGGGGUAGGCCCACCUGGGAGAGGACCCCCUGGGAGAGGCCCACCCACGAGAGUCCCACGUGGGAGAGUGGAAUUCCACCCGGGAGAGGCCCACCUGGGAGAGGACCCCCUGAGAGAGGACCGCCUGGGAGAGGCCCACCUGGGAGAGUGGAAUUCCACCCGGGAGAGGCCCACCUGGGAGAGGACCCCCUGAGAGAGGACCGCCUGGGAGAGGCCCACCUGGGAGAGUGGAAUUCCACCCAGGAGAGGCCCACCUGGGAGAGAACCCCCUGAGAGAGGACCGCCUGGGAGAGGCCCACCUGGGAGAGUGGAAUUCCACCCGGGAGAGGCCACCAUACCUACAUGGGAUCAAAUAAGCUGCCUGGACAUAGUUUUGAAACCUGAACGUCGUAUGUUUCUCAGGCUCCUAGAGCCCCACCCCGUCUUGAAGUUGGCAGCCUCAGAUCCCUGCUAAAUGACCAUAUUCCUUCCCAAAGACAGUUCUCAGAUGGGCCUUUGUUGGUAAAGACACUCCACACAUGGGUACAGCCUCGAUAAAAUAUUUAUCCCCUCAGAGAAAGUAUAUCCAAACAUAAUGUAGUAAGAGAUUUCCCAAAUCCAAGGGCAUUAAAUAUUAAAACUCAGUUUUCUAGUUACACAUUAGCCUUAAAUAUCAAGAGUGCAACACAAAAUUAUCACAGAACGCAGGAAAAGGAGAUGAGAAAGGCCGCAGAUGGGCAGCCAGGUGGGCCGGGGCACAGGGCAGGGUCGGAAAGGGUCCCCAGCCCAGGAGCUUCUGUGUCCGUGGAGUGGGGGGCACCACCCUCCUGGCCCGUGGAUGUGUUCAGCAACCUGGAACUGCUCGGGACCCAUAGUCCAGGCAUUCUUAUGGAGGCUCCAUCGCAGACAUGAAGGAUGAUGGUGGAUGAUCCCUGGAGGAGGGUGGGUGCAGGGUUGAGAGCUGCAGGUGCUAAUCCUGGCUGGUCUCUCUGGUGACUGGACCCCCUCCAGGAGCCACCAAGCCUCACCUCAUUUGAAUGGAAGAAUCUGCUGCCAUCACCCAGGAAAUUCGAGGGCUUUUGGAGCCCUGUGCGGGGUCUCGGGAGCAGAGACCAGAUCUAUUCAUUUCUCAUUUCAUCACCCCAUCUUGCCAGGUGAAAGCCAGGAAGAUGGGUGAAUUGUUGUUUAAAACAUCUCAGAAUAUAUACAUGAGCAGAAUGAGCAGAACAGAAGUUAAAGAUAGAGCUUCUUCCAGCGCAGAAAUGGCAGUUGCAUCAUACCUGUUUAGCAUCAUGGCUUCCAGCUAACUACCCAUCCAUUCACUGGAAGAUAUUUUUGAAGCCUUGCUGUGUCAUUAGAGCAGAGCCUCGUUCUGAACUCCUGGUCCAGCAGGCCCUGCUGCAGAGGCUGCUGCAGCUCAUGGCACACUUGGACAGCGGCAGCACUCUCUUCUCUGAGGCCUCUCUCUUCAACGUUUUGUAAGACUGUAUUUGCAUGUUUAUUUUUAUGUAAAUGCUGAAACAUCUGGUCUAGUUUAAAAAAUAAACACAAAACACAGCCAAAA
Long non-coding RNA from Homo sapiens (human), 1619 nucleotides. RefSeq lists it as uncharacterized. The transcript has 3 exons. Lineage: Eukaryota; Metazoa; Chordata; Mammalia; Primates; Hominidae. The record is from RefSeq and is a predicted model, not a curated record.